This 497-nucleotide ribosomal RNA is filed under the name uncultured bacterium. RNAcentral describes it as "partial 16S ribosomal RNA". It matches the Rfam family "Bacterial small subunit ribosomal RNA", at positions 28 to 507 of the family's 1533-position model. The record is from RNAcentral.
GAUGAACGCUGGCGGCGUGCCUAAUACAUGCAAGUCGAGCGAACAGAUGAGGAGCUUGCUCCUCUGACGUUAGCGGCGGACGGGUGAGUAACACGUGGAUAACCUACCUAUAAGACUGGGAUAACUUCGGGAAGCCGGAGCUAAUACCGGAUAAUAUAUUGAACCGCAUGGUUCAAUAGUGAAAGACGGUUUUGCUGUCACUUAUAGAUGGAUCCGCGCCGCAUUAGCUAGUUGGUAAGGUAACGGCUUACCAAGGCAACGAUGCGUAGCCGACCUGAGAGGGUGAUCGGCCACACUGGAACUGAGACACGGUCCAGACUCCUACGGGAGGCAGCAGUAGGGAAUCUUCCGCAAUGGGCGAAAGCCUGACGGAGCAACGCCGCGUGAGUGAUGAAGGUCUUCGGAUCGUAAAACUCUGUUAUUAGGGAAGAACAAAUAUGUAAGUAACUAUGCACGUCUUGACGGUACCUAAUCAGAAAGCCACGGCUAACUACGUG